UGCGUCCUAUGGGACGCGGCAGUGAGGAAUAUUGGUCAAUGGUCGGGAGACUGAACCAGCCAAGCCGCGUGAGGGAUGAAGGUACAGAGUAUCGUAAACCUCUUUUGUCGGGGAACAAAGGCGGGGACGCGUCCCCGGAUGAGUGUACCUGAAGAAAAAGCAUCGGCUAACUCCGUGCCAGCAGCCGCGGUAAUACGGAGGAUGCGAGCGUUAUCCGGAUUUAUUGGGUUUAAAGGGUGCGCAGGCGGUCUGUUAAGUCAGCGGUCAAAGCCCGGGGCUCAACCCCGGCCCGCCGUUGAAACUGG
Molecule: ribosomal RNA, 305 nt
Filed under: uncultured bacterium
Lineage: Bacteria
Description: bacterial SSU rRNA
Rfam family: Bacterial small subunit ribosomal RNA
Source: RNAcentral